RNA transcript from Nematostella vectensis (starlet sea anemone), 1574 nucleotides. RefSeq lists it as uncharacterized. Lineage: Eukaryota; Metazoa; Cnidaria; Anthozoa; Actiniaria; Edwardsiidae. The transcript has 4 exons. The record is from RefSeq and is a predicted model, not a curated record.
AGUUUGUGCUAUUAGGAAAUGGCCUGCAAAUGCAUGGGGUUGCUGUGGUGAAACAAAAUGGCGGCAGCAGGUUCAUUUGCAGCUUUUUUCUCCAAGACGAUGGUCAACAUGGCUCAAGGCAAUCUUUUCGCCCUCUUGGUUUUAAGAGAUACCCCUCUUCUGCAGAACAUCACAUACAAGUCUCUUGGCUUUUCACCUAAUGAUGAUGAUGAUGAUGAUGAUGAUGAUGAUGAAAAUAAUAAUGGUUUAUUACCAGCGUAUCCACUUAUAAAAGGCUCUUCAUCUGUCAUGACUACUAGAGCAUCUAAAUGCAUUGGGAAAGAGUUUGCCUUUGAGUCACUCGGCCAUGUUACGUCUGCGAUGAAUUACCACAUCAAACCCACCCUCGCCAUCUCCUCCCCUGAAACAUAGGUCAGCCAUGCUUUACCCACACUUGGGGUGCCAGAUAUCACGAGUUGACUAUCAGCCUGGUAGAAUGGGUAUGUUGCUAAAGUGUGUACGAAGAUAAUGUGGUAAGAUUUGAUAUGGGUGUAAUAAGAGAUUUUUUCUGUCUAUCUCCAGCUCCAUCUGACUAUUAAACAAGGCCGAAUCAGUGAUAUUCGAGGCUGUAAUAUCUCGUUUGAUGAUUAAAGGCUUGUAAUAAUUAUUCCCGACUUAUUAUGUUUAGUUUGUGAGUGACGUCAAUAUCUCUAUGUACCGCCCCUGCCUUAGCAACAUUCUAACAAACACGGGCCCUUUCAUCGCAUGUCUUGGUGUAAUUAAGAACUAUCAUUCUUGGAAAAAUGGAAAGCGCGCUGUACCGAAGGAGAGCAAUGGCCAAAAACAGCAAAGAAAUUACUUUGUUGCCGCCACUCCUGGCAUCCUCCCCUACUCCACGGCCAUGCCUUCCUCCCAGACAGACAAACGGUGAGCGAACCCACUCUCAAGGGUCAGUCAUGUUCGGCCGUCAAGAGCGAACAAACUCCAUGAACGCUGCCUCUGAGAUACUCAGCAAGCAAGCGCCUGGUGUGUACAGCUCCUGGUGGAUGCCGCUUUCCCCUCUCAGCUCCGUCACACCGAAGAAAGAUUGCCUGUUUGAUUUCACUCCACCUGGUUCCCCUGUCUCUAAACAUCUCGAUGGUCAGGGAUCACCCGUUCUUCGCUUACCCAGCGUCGAUGGGCGAUCAUUGGGUGGUGUGUUCCACGGCCCUUCGCAAGCUGAACGCCGGCCAGAAAGGUGUAGCUCCGCUCCGCCGCAAAGUCUAGCACCGACAAAUCAAUUCCCAGGCCCAUUUCUACCGCCGGUACCAAAAGGACCUAUAUCCCUUUUAAGCGGAUUUAACUUCGAGGCACCGGCGUUCUCGCCACUCAUGAAAAGCGAAGAUGCGUCGAGUUGGUCGAGUCCUCAUGUCCUCACAGCCAGAAAGACCUGGACGAGAGGAUGAGUUAUCAGCGCUUUUCUUUGACGACGAACCGGAGAUUUUUGCGCCUGAUGUCAAUGAACCAGAAGAGAAAUCUUGCAAUGCACACUUGAAUACGACUAGUAAACCGUUUAAAGGUAAGUUCUUACGGUACUAAUGUUUCGAAAUAGAAAA